ACGAGCGGCGGACGGGUGAGUAAUGUCUGGGAAACUGCCUGAUGGAGGGGGAUAACUACUGGAAACGGUAGCUAAUACCGCAUAACGUCGCAAGACCAAAGUGGGGGACCUUCGGGCCUCAUGCCAUCAGAUGUGCCCAGAUGGGAUUAGCUAGUAGGUGGGGUAACGGCUCACCUAGGCGACGAUCCCUAGCUGGUCUGAGAGGAUGACCAGCCACACUGGAACUGAGACACGGUCCAGACUCCUACGGGAGGCAGCAGUGGGGAAUAUUGCACAAUGGGCGCAAGCCUGAUGCAGCCAUGCCGCGUGUGUGAAGAAGGCCUUCGGGUUGUAAAGCACUUUCAGCGGGGAGGAAGGCGGUGAGGUUAAUAACCUUGUCGAUUGACGUUACCCGCAGAAGAAGCACCGGCUAACUCCGUGCCAGCAGCCGCGGUAAUACGGAGGGUGCAAGCGUUAAUCGGAAUUACUGGGCGUAAAGCGCACGCAGGCGGUCUGUCAAGUCGGAUGUGAAAUCCCCGGGCUCAACCUGGGAACUGCAUUCGAAACUGGCAGGCUAGAGUCUUGUAGAGGGGGGUAGAAUUCCAGGUGUAGCGGUGAAAUGCGUAGAGAUCUGGAGGAAUACCGGUGGC
Molecule: ribosomal RNA, 629 nt
Filed under: Klebsiella pneumoniae
Lineage: Bacteria; Pseudomonadati; Pseudomonadota; Gammaproteobacteria; Enterobacterales; Enterobacteriaceae
Description: bacterial SSU rRNA
Rfam family: Bacterial small subunit ribosomal RNA
Source: RNAcentral